RNAcentral lists this transfer RNA (84 nucleotides) under Coemansia sp. 'formosensis'. Its description in RNAcentral is "tRNA-Thr". It matches the Rfam family "tRNA". Rfam says of the family: Transfer RNA (tRNA) molecules are approximately 80 nucleotides in length. Their secondary structure includes four short double-helical elements and three loops (D, anti-codon, and T loops). Lineage: Eukaryota; Fungi; Kickxellomycota; Kickxellomycetes; Kickxellales; Kickxellaceae. The record is from RNAcentral.
GCCUGCUUAGCACAGGGGCAGUGCGCUGCUCUCGUACUUUAAACAGACAAGCAGAGGUCAUCAGUUCAAUUCUGAUAGUAGGCA